ACUGAACGGACCCUGGGAGGAAAAGUCUUUUUUUGAAUUUCAGCAAUAUGUUUUAUUCAUUAACAAAUUCUUCCCAUAUUUGUAAACAUGGCUUAGUUCUGUACAGUUGCAUAUGAAGAAAAGAAAAAAUUACAUUGGAUUUUGACUCGAUCUAACAAACAAACGAAAGGCAAGCCUUACAUGAACCAGACUAUAUUUACACACACUUGCGACACCAGGAGAGUUCAAUAACUUAACAGACCCCCAUUUAACUCAAGCAAGAAGAUCUCAGACAGUUUUUUCCACUGCGCUUUGGUGGCAGCUGCGCCGGGCAUGAGUGUGUCCCCCAACAUGUCAUUCUUGACCUUGGAGUAUGCCAAUCUGCAACAUUCUUUCGAAGUCAACUCCUUGUUCUGGAAGAUCAACAAGUUCUGGAAAAACAAAAGAGUGUCUUUCACUGACUUGUUGGUUGUCCAGACGCAACACUUUGCCCAGUUUAACUUUCUUCUCUGAGUUUGUCCCGAGAUACAAAAUGGAGCAGUGUUGCGACAUCUCACCGAUUGUUCCGUCCUUAGACCGGAAGUGAAUUGUUUUCCUCCCGCCCUCCCCAAGAAAACAGACACAUGCAAAUCAUUACAAUCUCUGUGAUCCUGCAGUGGCUGGCUUAUAUCUCCCAGUUACGGUGUAGUCAAAGAUAGACGCUGCCUUUCCUUAUAUAGAAACAAAGGAGGUCUUCUGGAAGCUCUGACAAUGAUGUCACAUUCACAGCUGAACACUGAAUCCGACAACAGGGCGAGAGGAUUUGCAUUUUUGUGAGAGUUGUCCCACGCUGGGAGGGAAAAUGUUUGGUACACUUUCUCUGCAUCUCCUGUUAUUGCUGCUCCCAGCGACUUGUAGAAGCGCCCUCAUCUCCCAAUGGCCAGAGCGUUUGUCUCUACAAAAGGGAAACACAGUGGAGAUGCACUGUUACCAAAACUACACUAGCUAUACCCACAUGUACUGGUACCGCCAGCUCAAAGGAGCAGCCCCGCAGCUUGUUGCAACCUCAACUGGUACCUCAGAGCCCAAUUUCGAGGAUGAUUUCGAUAAAGGAUUCAAAGGCACCAGGCACAGUACUAAAUCGUGCAGCCUGAAAAUCCUGAAGCUCGAGGCAGCUGAUACUGCGGUUUAUUUCUGCGCUGCUAGUGACAAUGAAGCAUACUUCGGAACUGGGACAAAGCUGGUCGUUGUCGAGCACCUGGUUAGAUUUCCCAAUGUCAUGAUCCUCAAACCAUCACCAGCAGAGCUGCGAGAGAGACAGAAAGCGACCGUGGUGUGCCUCAUCACUGACUUCUACCCUGACAACAUUGAGAUCCGCUGGUAUGUCAACGGUGAGAUGAAGCUGGAGAAUGACCCGACAAUUCAGUCAGACCCUGAAUCCAUCAUACAGAAAGACGGUAAAUCCUACAGAGUCAGCAGUCGGAUAAGAUUCAGCGAAAAACAAUGGGCCAAUCUGAAGAAAGUUGAGUGCAGCGUUAAUCAUUAUUCAAAUGGAUCACAGCCUACUUUGUACACGUCAAAGCUUUACCUCAAUGCUGAAAUCUGCAGCAUGAGUAAAGAAGCUAAAUUCCAGAACAUGACAACAGCUAGAGUGACGUACCUUAUUGUAAUUUGCAAAAGCAUCCUGUAUGCGCUGUUCGUGUCAAUGAUUGUUUGGAAGUCCAAGAUCUCUCACAGCAAUAGGUUUGACUGAUCGCAUUGAAGAUGAUGGUGGAACACAUGAAACAGUAUGGAGGAAAGAAAUAUGCACUUUUUGAAUACUCAGAGCGAUUUGAUCUCAACUACUUCUGCUCUUCAAGCAUCUUGCUGACAAGCGAUCUUCAACAUCUUGGCCAUGCGAAAUAAUGGAAUAGAGUUAGAGUGUUAGCUAAUUUUUCAGAAGUCUAUAUCUUGAUAUGUCAUUAUGUUCUUACGAGAGAAGCAAGCUUCAGCUUUUAGGGUUGCAAAACAAUUACACAAUUAAUUCUCUGGUUGUCAAUUUGAGGGUGGGAUUAUUUGAGCCAUUACAUAUUAUUGUAAACAAUUACAAGGCAACAAGGCCCAUUUGAUCUCUCCUGCAAAAAACAUUCUCUGAGUGUCAGCCAUUGAGUUCAAAAAUUUGAAAAGCAAGAACAGAUUUUAUGCUCAAUCUUAUUUUUAACCUUCUCUGCCCUCCUCUGAUUCUGUUACAAUAACGGUGUCUAUAUCUUAAAGAAGUUGAAAGAUGAAAGUUAUUCAAAUGCUAUUUGAAGCUAUCUGUUUUUGUUCUCUCUAAUUUCUACUCACGCAGCAAUGUAUUAUGAGUUUUAGAAUGAUUUUCUUUGAUUAUGAAAGAAAAUCUGGGAUCAUAAUUCAUUGUGGUAUCGUCAAUGGAGCUGGCAUUGACAACGUGCUUGUGAAUUUUUGCAGUCUUCUUAUUGUUAACAAGAAAUAAAUAGA
Stegostoma tigrinum is the source of this 2436-nucleotide non-coding RNA. The record is from the annotation of a RefSeq genome assembly. NCBI's taxonomy places the organism in Eukaryota, Metazoa, Chordata, Chondrichthyes, Orectolobiformes, Stegostomatidae.